Long non-coding RNA from Pararge aegeria (speckled wood butterfly), 977 nucleotides. RefSeq lists it as uncharacterized. The record is from RefSeq and is a predicted model, not a curated record. The transcript is spliced from 3 exons. NCBI's taxonomy places the organism in Eukaryota, Metazoa, Arthropoda, Insecta, Lepidoptera, Nymphalidae.
UAAUACACCUCUCAGAAAGCAUAUUGAUAAUAAAUGUAAUUAAUAAUUGUGGUACAUGGAGGUCAUGAAGUUUUCUAUGCAUAACUGAGAUCAGCACAUUAUCAUACGCUGAGCUGAUAUCAAGAAAGGCCGCAAGAACCGACUCAUUACUCGAGAAAGCUAGCCGAAUAUCCGAAACCAAAAUACUAAUAUUGUCUGUGGUACUACGGCCUUUUCUGAAUCCCAGCUGAUUAGCUGUCAAAAUAUUAUUAUUUUCAAUGAAAAAUUCUAACCUGUUUUUUACAAGAUGCUCAGCUAUUUUAGCAAGAACAGAGGAUAGGGCUAUUGGGCGAAAAGAAGAAACAUCAGAGGCUGGUUUGUUUGGUUUUAAUAUGGGAAUUAUAGCUUGGGUUUUCCAAGAAGAAGGAAUAUUACCAGACAACACAAUGGCAUUAAUAAUACUCAAAUAGUAGUUCAAGGAAGCGACACUGCUGUUUAUUAAGAAAGAGUUAGAAGGAGGGCAAGAGAUAGGUAAAGUAAGAACAAGUGGUAAGUGAUCACUGCCAUAAGAAUGAUCAAGUACACUCCAGGAUAUCAGAGAGGCCAUACUUGGAGAGCAAAGAGAUAGGUCAGGAGCACUAAGGCAUUCACCAGGACCAGUACGUCGAGUUGGAGUGCCAUUGUUCAAAAUACAUAUAUUUUGAGAGUCUAAAAUAUCUGCCAUCAAUUCACCAUAAUAAUUAGAACUAGUACUACCCCAUGACUGAUUUUGACAAUUGAAAUCCCCAAGUACUAAAAAUGGACUAGGUAAAGUAAUUGUGGAGGAGAGGUAGCAGCUACAUCAGCAUAAGACUUUGAUGAAGAAGGGGGAUGGACUUUAGCCGCCUCUGCAUAUGAUAUGCAGCUCUGGGCCAUUGAAAUUUUGAUUUUCUGCUGUCUAGAAAAUUCUGGACACAACUUACUAGUCGUAAAGUGGCAACCUGUGCAAUGAGGACAAC